This 486-nucleotide ribosomal RNA is filed under the name uncultured Dermabacter sp. RNAcentral's name for it is "bacterial SSU rRNA". It matches the Rfam family "Bacterial small subunit ribosomal RNA", at positions 1 to 507 of the family's 1533-position model. The record is from RNAcentral. Lineage: Bacteria; Bacillati; Actinomycetota; Actinomycetes; Micrococcales; Dermabacteraceae.
UAGGAGUUGUAGUCCUGCGUCAGGAGAACGCUGGCGGCGUGCUUAACACAUGCAAGUCGAACGAUGAAGCUGUGCUUGCACAGUGGAUUAGUGGCGAACGGGUGAGUAACACGUGAGUAACCUGCCCUUCACUUUGGGAUAACUCCGAGAAAUCGGGGCUAAUACCGGAUAUGACUACUGGCCGCAUGGUUGGUGGUGGAAAGUUUUCGGUGGGGGAUGGGCUCGCGGCCUAUCAGUUUGUUGGUGAGGUAGUGGCUCACCAAGGCGAUGACGGGUAGCCGGCCUGAGAGGGCGACCGGCCACACUGGGACUGAGACACGGCCCAGACUCCUACGGGAGGCAGCAGUGGGGAAUAUUGCACAAUGGGCGAAAGCCUGAUGCAGCGACGCCGCGUGGGGGAUGACGGCCUUCGGGUUGUAAACCUCUUUCAGCAAGGAAGAAGCGAAAGUGACGGUACUUGCAGAAGAAGCGCCGGCUAACUACGUG